GAUGAACGCUGGCGGCGUGCCUAACACAUGCAAGUCGAACGGAGUCCAGCCUUUAAGACCUUCGGGUCAAAGAGGGGAAGACUGAGUGGCGGACGGGUGAGUAACACGUGGGCAACCUGGCUCAUAGAGGGGGAUAACAGAGAGAAAUUUCUGCUAAUACCGCAUAAGCACACACUGCCGCAUGGCAGAGGGUGAAAAGAGAAUCGCUAUGAGAUGGACCCGCGUCUGAUUAGCCAGUUGGCAGGGUAAGAGCCUACCAAAGCGACGAUCAGUAGCCGAUCUGAGAGGAUGAACGGCCACAUUGGGACUGAGACACGGCCCAAACUCCUACGGGAGGCAGCAGUGGGUGAUAGUGCACAAUGGGGGGAACCCUGAUGCAGCGACGCCGCGUGAGUGAAGAAGUAUUUCGGUAUGUAAAGCUCUAGCAGCAGGGAAGAUAAUGACAGUACCUGAAUAAGAAGCCCCGGCUAACUACGUG
RNAcentral lists this ribosomal RNA (478 nucleotides) under uncultured bacterium. Its description in RNAcentral is "partial 16S ribosomal RNA". It matches the Rfam family "Bacterial small subunit ribosomal RNA", at positions 28 to 507 of the family's 1533-position model. The record is from RNAcentral.